RNAcentral lists this ribosomal RNA (253 nucleotides) under uncultured bacterium. RNAcentral's name for it is "partial 16S ribosomal RNA". It matches the Rfam family "Bacterial small subunit ribosomal RNA", at positions 524 to 776 of the family's 1533-position model. The record is from RNAcentral.
UACGUAGGGACCAAGCGUUGUUCGGAUUUACUGGGCGUAAAGGGCGCGUAGGCGGCGUGGUAAGUCACUUGUGAAAUCUCCGAGCUUAACUCGGAACGGUCAAGUGAUACUGCUGUGCUAGAGUGCAGAAGGGGCAAUCGGAAUUCUUGGUGUAGCGGUGAAAUGCGUAGACAUCAAGAGGAACACCUGAGGUGAAGACGGGUUGCUGGGCUGACACUGACGCUGAGGCGCGAAAGCUAGGGUAGCAAACAGG